CCGCCACCGCCAGCGCCAGGAAGGGGAUGCCAGGACGGCGACCGGCCAAUCAGACGCCGCCUCCUGUGCCCAGUGCAGGGGGGUUGGCCAAUCAGAGGCCUCCGAGCUGCCGUCAUUGUGUCCAUCUGUAGCUGUGCAGUAGGAAACUGGCCCCAGAAACUACAACAAAACUGCAGAGACGACACCAACUGCGGGACGAGCGGUGAUGUGUUCACGUGCGGACACUCCCCGGUUCUUCACACCGAAACAUGUGUUGCAUUCACACGCAGCAUGUAAAAAUAAAAGUAGAAAUUCAA
Scophthalmus maximus (turbot) is the source of this 296-nucleotide long non-coding RNA. RefSeq lists it as uncharacterized. Lineage: Eukaryota; Metazoa; Chordata; Actinopteri; Pleuronectiformes; Scophthalmidae. The transcript is spliced from 2 exons. The record is from RefSeq and is a predicted model, not a curated record.